Molecule: ribosomal RNA, 672 nt
Rfam family: 5.8S ribosomal RNA (bases 261-414)
GAGGAAGUAAAAGUCGUAACAAGGUUUCCGUAGGUGAACCUGCGGAAGGAUCAUUAUCGAGUUUUAUUUGAACGGGUUGUAGCUGGCCUUUUAAUCGAGGCAUGUGCACGCUCGGCUCAAUUCCACUCUUAACCACUGUGCACUUUUUGUAAGAUCGGUUGAAGGACUUUGUGUAAUAAUGAAGUCUGGAAGCCUUUCUUAUGUUUACUACAAACGCUUCAGUUAUAGAAUGUCUAUUUGUGUAUAACACAUUUAUAUACAACUUUCAGCAACGGAUCUCUUGGCUCUCGCAUCGAUGAAGAACGCAGCGAAAUGCGAUAAGUAAUGUGAAUUGCAGAAUUCAGUGAAUCAUCGAAUCUUUGAACGCACCUUGCGCUCCUUGGUAUUCCGAGGAGCAUGCCUGUUUGAGUGUCAUGGAAUUCUCAACCCUUAGGAUUUAUUUUCUAAUGGGCUUGGACUUGGAGGCUUGUGUCGGCUGCUUUGUUCAGUCGACUCCUCUUAAAUGCAUUAGCGUGAAUUCUUACGGAUCGCCUUCAGUGUGAUAAUUAUCUGCGCUGUGGUGUUGAAGUAUUUUUUAUAUUCGUGCUUAUAAUCGUCUCCUUACCGAGACAAUUAUCAUUAUGACAUCUGACCUCAAAUCAGGUAGGACUACCCGCUGAACUUAAGCAUAUC